This is a long non-coding RNA of Gallus gallus (chicken), 1944 nucleotides long. Lineage: Eukaryota; Metazoa; Chordata; Aves; Galliformes; Phasianidae. The record is from Ensembl.
GAAGUUUCCAAAAUUCCUCUCGGUUAACUCAUUGCGAGCAGAAACCAUUUGUCACGCAGACUAGAGAGGCGUUUUCCGUGCAGCGGCUCUGGACGUGGGGCCGCGCGCUUCUGGGCCACCCCGUCGAGCCGAGCAGUGGUUGUUGAGUAAGACCCAGUCUCCCUGCAGGAAGCUGUUAUUAAUUCUAAUUUGGUGAAGUCUUCAGUUUCAACAUCUCAAAUGGUAAUACAUAUAUUUCUGAAAGAAAAUUCUAAAUGGAUUUGGAAUUGUGAAGCUGUUGGUAAUUAUAGUCUGGUAAAGCCCGCAACAGUGACUUCCAACAUGUGCAAAUAGUGCGGGAUGGAAGCAGAACAUGGAUCCAGCAUGAAUUCUAUCACAAGACCUCAAGACGUCAGUGUCUGUUUUGCUGCUGGGACAGAAGGAUGUCACAAGCAGAGAGCUCAAAGUCCACCUGCAGACUGACACAGACGCCCUUUGACUUUCUAUUGACUGAAGGAAGGACUGAACUUCUUGAUGACACCUAAGAGAGGGUUAAAAAGGGGUGAUUAAGAAGAUCACAACUAGAGGACAUCUGCACUUUUGUGAGCUUUGGUGUUUUUAGUAAUAAUGGUUCAUCCUGUGAUCUACAAAACAAACUGUAAGUUCCUUUGGUUUGAUUCAACUUAGGCUCCUGGUGCUGUAGACAGUGAAUGAGGAAGAAAACAAUUACACCACACUUGAAGCUGAGUAUCUGUACAGAUCUUCUGUAUGGAUCUCAUAUUCCACACAGUGACCACCAGUCCCUUUUUCUACAGGGAUGAUGCAAUUGUACCUGGGACACCACAAGCAACUCUAGGUUUUCCAACACUGAUUCUGUGCUUAACUAAAGCAAUUAAUAGUACUGACCAAUGAAUGUGGAGAAAGACAAACAAACUUCCCGAUUUUGCUGUAUUUAGGUAGUUCUCUUCACCUGAACAGAUCAGGUCUUAAAGAGGGUGUAACUGCAGUCAUAGCUUUAGAACUAUAAUCAGUAAUACUUAUAUCUCCUGUUACAGACUUUAUACCUCAGGAGAUGCGGAGGAAAAUUAUUCAUCUGCGAAACACACAGCGUGUCAUUGCAGGUGACAGUAAAGGUCUUUCACCGGAAUUACCUGUAAAAGCAAGCUUUUGUUAAUGAUUUCUAACAGGUCAUCCAAGCAUAGUUCAGUGCACUGAACUCUAGCCAGAGAAUGGAAACUAUGACAGCACAGUGCAUGAGUUUCAGUGACAACACACUGUGAACCUUACAGGAAAUUUAAGGCUGUUUUUUUGCCUAUCGGUAGAUGAAAACUGAACUGAGAAGUGGAUCCAGCCAAUGAAUGAGAGGGAUCCUGAAUGCAGAAGUUCCUUUUCAAGUAUUGUUGAGUUGUGAUGAAGAUCUGAUGACAUAUUUUUAGUCAAAUUUCUUUUUAUGCAUCUAUGAUGUCUUAUUUUCCUGAAAUAUAAUGGUGACUGCCAACAGCAUGGUCUGCAACAGAUGUUAAGAGAGCUUAGGGAUAGAUUCAGAUGGCUGAGUACAAUAUAAUCAUUUUACAUGAAAUAGAGUUGGCAAGCUAAAAUGGUUAUGGCUUCAAGUAUAUGCCUUUGCAGAUUAAUUGCUGGUGAUUAUACUUUUCUGAUAGCACAGACCUGGAAUGCUGAACUGUAAAAAAAUUCUUGUGUGUCCCUCUGAGGGCAGGAGUAUGCAAGUGUGUCAUCAGCACAAGUAAUGAGCAUGUAUUUGCCUAAAUCAACCCUGCAUGUGAGCUGCUGAGACACUUUCCAGAUAAAAUGCUAAAACAGAGAGUUGUCAGUCUUCACUUAACAGAGUAUGCUUUACUUCUCUGGUACAUGGGAUGCUGAGACUGAUAGCCAUCUACUUCUACCAUGAGUAAAAGCUAGUUUCACACACAUAUACAAAAACAAACAAACAAACAAACAAAAAAA